This 492-nucleotide ribosomal RNA is filed under the name uncultured bacterium. RNAcentral's name for it is "partial 16S ribosomal RNA". It matches the Rfam family "Bacterial small subunit ribosomal RNA", at positions 29 to 507 of the family's 1533-position model. The record is from RNAcentral.
AGUGAACGCUGGCGGUAGGCCUAACACAUGCAAGUCGAACGGCAGCACAGUAAGAGCUUGCUCUUACGGGUGGCGAGUGGCGGACGGGUGAGGAAUACAUCGGAAUCUACUUUUUCGUGGGGGAUAACGUAGGGAAACUUACGCUAAUACCGCAUACGACCUACGGGUGAAAGCAGGGGAUCUUCGGACCUUGCGCGAUUGAAUGAGCCGAUGUCGGAUUAGCUAGUUGGCGGGGUAAAGGCCCACCAAGGCGACGAUCCGUAGCUGGUCUGAGAGGAUGAUCAGCCACACUGGAAGUGAGACACGGUCCAGACUCCUACGGGAGGCAGCAGUGGGGAAUAUUGGACAAUGGGCGCAAGCCUGAUCCAGCCAUACCGCGUGGGUGAAGAAGGCCUUCGGGUUGUAAAGCCCUUUUGUGGGGAAAGAAAAGCAGCAGGUUAAUACCCCGCUGUUCUGACGGUACCCAAAGAAUAAGCACCGGCUAACUUCGUG